This is a ribosomal RNA of Lepisosteus oculatus (spotted gar), 119 nucleotides long. The record is from Ensembl. Lineage: Eukaryota; Metazoa; Chordata; Actinopteri; Semionotiformes; Lepisosteidae.
GACAGCAGCCAUAUCACCCUGCAACUCACAACUGGCAACCCACUGAAGCUAAGCAGGUGUGAGCCUGGUCAGUACCUGGAUGUGAGACCUCCUAGGAAAAACUAAGGUUGCUGCUGGAA